Molecule: ribosomal RNA, 253 nt
Filed under: uncultured bacterium
Lineage: Bacteria
Description: partial 16S ribosomal RNA
Rfam family: Bacterial small subunit ribosomal RNA
Source: RNAcentral
UACGUAGGAGGCGAGCGUUGUCCGGAUUUACUGGGCGUAAAGCGCGCGCAGGCGGCACACUAAGUACGAUGUGAAAUCUCCCUGCUCAACGGGGAGGGUGCAUAGUAAACUGGUGAGCUAGAGGACGGUAGAGGGGGGUGGAAUUGCUGGUGUAGCGGUGAAAUGCGUAGAGAUCGGCAGGAACACCCAGGGGGAAACCAGCGGACUGGGCAUCGGCUGACGCUCAGGUGCGACAGCGUGGGGAGCGAACCGG